AGUCGCAAGCUCAGGCCAUAGCAGAAGUGCUUACAGUUCAGCCUUGUCAGAUUCCAAUGAAUCUGCAAAUUCUGCU
RNAcentral lists this ribozyme (76 nucleotides) under Crocodylus porosus (Australian saltwater crocodile). RNAcentral describes it as "Mammalian CPEB3 ribozyme (ENSCPRG00005001482.1)". It matches the Rfam family "Mammalian CPEB3 ribozyme". Rfam says of the family: The mammalian CPEB3 ribozyme is a self cleaving RNA located in the second intron of the CPEB3 gene which belongs to a family of genes regulating messenger RNA polyadenylation. This ribozyme is highly conserved and found only in mammals. The record is from Rfam by way of RNAcentral. Lineage: Eukaryota; Metazoa; Chordata; Crocodylia; Crocodylidae.